AGUGGACGCUGGCGGUAGGCCUAACACAUGCCAGUCGAACGGCAGCACAGUAAGAGCUUGCUCUUACGGGUGGCGAGUGGCGGACGGGUGAGGAAUACAUCGGAAUCUACUUUUUCGUGGGGGAUAACGUAGGGAAACUUACGCUAAUACCGCAUACGACCUACGGGUGAAAGCAGGGGAUCUUCGGACCUUGCGCGAUUGAAUGAGCCGAUGUCGGAUUAGCUAGUUGGCGGGGUAAAGGCCCACCAAGGCGACGAUCCGUAGCUGGUCUGAGAAGAUGAUCAGCCACACUGGAACUGAGACACGGUCCAGACUCCUACGGGAGGCAGCAGUAGGGAAUAUUGGACAAUGGGCGCAAGCCUGAUCCAGCCAUACCGCGUGGGUGAAGAAGGCCUUCGGGUUGUAAAGCCCUUUUGUUGGGAAAGAAAAGCAGCAGGUUAAUACCCCGCUGUUCUGACGGUACCCAAAGAAUAAGCACCGGCUAACUUCGUG
Molecule: ribosomal RNA, 492 nt
Filed under: uncultured bacterium
Lineage: Bacteria
Description: partial 16S ribosomal RNA
Rfam family: Bacterial small subunit ribosomal RNA
Source: RNAcentral